Non-coding RNA from Macaca mulatta (Rhesus monkey), 777 nucleotides. Lineage: Eukaryota; Metazoa; Chordata; Mammalia; Primates; Cercopithecidae. The record is from RefSeq and is a predicted model, not a curated record.
CCACUGCCCUCUGGCCUGGGUGACAGCAAGCCUCUGUCUCCAAAAAAAAAAAAAAAAAAGUCUAAUUGCCGAAAUCUGCAAUCUGCAUAUAAUAUAAUCCCACUUACUUACGAGUUUUACAGUGUCCAUGCUGUGUACCUGUGUGUUCAAACUCAGCCUAUUAAUCAAGUAUUAAUUACACUAUUGUAAUGUUCUCAUAUCCACUUCCUGUUCCUUUUGUAGUGAGCUCCAGUGUUGCGGGUAUCCACUUAAAACACCAGGCGAUGCCCAUCAUCUCCACAGGAGGAGUUUGUCUUGCCGAUGCAGCAGGAGUUGCAAGACAGUACAACUACAGAGAUACAAAAAGCCAGCAGACUGAAACUGUUCUCAGAAAACAAAGGAAUCAUCGACUUCCUGGGUUUAUGGUGGUGAUUUAAGGCCAAGAGACAGACUCCAGGCUCAUCUAGUAACACUCAGGCUACUCCAGUUCAAAGGCAGCCACAUGACAGGUGACAUUUUAAAUCUCCAGUCAUUUACUUUGUCAUUGGUUUACUUUUGCCCCCAGGAAAGGUUCCAGAUUCCUAGCAUGGAGUAAAAAUAUCCAAAUCAGUUUGGCUCCUGUCAAGUUAUUCAGCCUCAUCUCUCAUCACUUGCCAUACUCUGCCCCUUCGCUCUAGCAUCUCGCCAAAGUUGGCUACGCAGAACACAGGGAACUUCCUCAGCUCCAGCUCUCUGUAUGUGUUCUUCCCGCCAUCAGAAAAAUAAACUAAUCUCUAAGAAGAGAUUCAGGUCUCCUAA